GAUGAACGCUGGCGGCGUGCCUAAUACAUGCAAGUCGAGCGAACAGACGAGGAGCUUGCUCCUCUGACGUUAGCGGCGGACGGGUGAGUAACACGUGGAUAACCUACCUAUAAGACUGGGAUAACUUCGGGAAACCGGAGCUAAUACCGGAUAAUAUAUUGAACCGCAUGGUUCAAUAGUGAAAGACGGUGUUGCUGUCACUUAUAGAUGGAUCCGCGCUGCAUUAGCUAGUUGGUAAGGUAACGGCUUACCAAGGCAACGAUGCGUAGCCGACCUGAGAGGGUGAUCGGCCACACUGGAACUGAGACACGGUCCAGACUCCUACGGGAGGCAGCAGUAGGGAAUCUUCCGCAAUGGGCGAAAGCCUGACGGAGCAACGCCGCGUGAGUGAUGAAGGUCUUCGGAUCGUAAAACUCUGUUAUUAGGGAAGAACAAAUGUGUAAGUAACUGUGCACGUCUUGACGGUACCUAAUCAGAAAGCCACGGCUAACUACGUG
RNAcentral lists this ribosomal RNA (497 nucleotides) under uncultured bacterium. RNAcentral's name for it is "partial 16S ribosomal RNA". It matches the Rfam family "Bacterial small subunit ribosomal RNA", at positions 28 to 507 of the family's 1533-position model. The record is from RNAcentral.